ACCCCCAGCAAUGGGCAAAGAGCUACCUUGUCGGUGGUGGUGUUCUUAUAUCAGUCAGGGGGAGAGUCGAUGUCAGUCCUUUGUUCAUCCUGGUGUGGUGCCUGGCUUGGUGGCCAAAACUGUUUUAUGCCAGGAAACAUAA
Rattus norvegicus (Norway rat) is the source of this 142-nucleotide small nucleolar RNA. Ensembl annotates it as small nucleolar RNA SNORA48. NCBI's taxonomy places the organism in Eukaryota, Metazoa, Chordata, Mammalia, Rodentia, Muridae. The record is from Ensembl.